Molecule: long non-coding RNA, 3331 nt
Organism: Lagenorhynchus albirostris (white-beaked dolphin)
Lineage: Eukaryota; Metazoa; Chordata; Mammalia; Artiodactyla; Delphinidae
Exons: 8
Source: RefSeq, a predicted model, not a curated record
GCAGUUAUCUGGCUAUUUUGAUAAGAAUGAUUCUCUCAGCAGAGAGAAUGUGGCUUGACUUCAGAAGCCUUCAAGGCAGAGUAUGACAUUAUUCCGCUGACUUGGACAGUGCUCGUGGGAAGUGCACAGGCAGCCCCAAAGUCCUCCUCAGCACUUGUGUUUUCUCUCUACAAGUAAGAGGGCUCAUGGAGCCUGAGACGAACAGAAAGCACUUUCACGUUGUGUUUUCUCUGGGACAGCAUGGUCCAUAAGAGCAGAAGUUGUAGGACAGGUCAGAGAUGUUCCACGUGUAGCCACAAUAUAUUCUCAUUCUUCCUGGCUGUGAGGUAUGCAUAGAACCUUUCUUCCUUCUUUCCUCACCUCUCCCUCCUCCCUAUGUCCAGCUUUUUCUGCUUUGAAUUUUGACCAUUUUAAAUGGUAGAAAACUCUCUUUGAAGUGAAAAAGAAAAAGGCGAGUUUGCAUGCAAGCGUGCCUGGUUGUCCUGCGGUAGCCGGUAUGUGGUUCUCCCUCCCUCUGGUUGGCAGGCGCUAUGGCCCACUCCUUAGUAAGAGCGGGACAGAAAGCUUGCAGGUGUUUCCUGACUUUCUAAUCAGGUACCUGCUGAAAGUCAGCCUUUUACUCCAUUUGGGUAAUUUCAUAAGAUUACUUUUAAGUGUACCAUAUAUGAAAUAUAUCUAAUAUAAUCUACAUGAAAUCUACCUAAUAUAAUCUAAAUAGGGUAAAACAAUGAGAUGUUUCAGCUCCUUAACACUAAUUGAGGGUUUGUUUGUUUUUAAAAAAAGAACAUACAGCAUUUCCUCUAUAUACACAAAUAUUAAGCUGUUAUUUUGUAUGCACCUCUAAGUAUGAGAUUUGAGAUUCUGUAAUGAUUUGAAGCGCAUUUUGACUAAUUUGUAUUUUAUUGAGUUUGAGUCAGUAUUUUCUUUGGAUACAAUCUUGCGACUUAAUUAUGGCUGUUGCUUUACUUCUCUAAGAAUAGUGGCUGUUUGGGUUCUCUCUUUGCAAGGGUCCCAAAGGCACAGUUUGUCCAGUCCUCAAACACUGACUGCCCUGCCAUUCACCUUGGUCUGGAGGUAGAGUUACAGGGCUUGGUUGCCAUCGUGCUCCAUCACCAUGUGCUUGUUAUUCCCCUCCUGAAGAAGAUGGAAGAUACUGGUAGGUUGUAAUUGCAUUCCUCACUUCUUUUGGUUUGGAAAUAAGGGACAAGUUUUACUUUCUAAAAAAAGUUGAAAAUAUUAUUAUCAGUAAAACACUUGUCCACAAAACCUAAUGCAACUUCUGUUGAGAAAUCUAGAUCAUUUUGUAACUGCAUUAUUUUGGAAGCAUUUUAGAUUAAUAGAAGUUUUCUCAGUCAUAAACCCAAUUUUCCCUCUAGUGGGUCACUUCAGAAUGUUGAGGCCAGUAGCUGUAGUUGAAGAAAGGCACAGGAGAGCCGGGUCAGACGUUCAAAUCCAGGAACUAAGAAAGAGUGAUAUUUCAUUAUCCAAAGAGGAUUCAGCCUCAGAAAAUACCCCAUCCUCCCGUGGUAAGAAACUCUCACCCCAGCACCUCACACACACUGAAGACAGCGCUGCUCACAAGGUGUCCCUCCCUGCACACCAGCCUGAAGGCAGGAGCAGCAAGUGGCCGUCUAACCCUGGCCGUGAACAUAAACUUGAAGUGUGCAAGAUGCAGCACUUGGGGAGUAAAAUAAGCUAAAGCUGAAAUCCUGAUUCCUGCGGAAUUCGCACAAUUCAGACACUGCUCAGCUCUGGAAAUUUUAAGAAAAAUGAACCGUACACUAACAUGUUGCUGUUCUAAGCAGCAGACCUCAAGCAGCAGCCUUGGCACAGCAAACACAAGGCUUGGGGAACAGCCCCUAGCCGCUGCCUCGCAGCCAGGCCAGUGUGGGAGCCUGGUGGCCAGCAGCAAAUGGAAGCUGCUUUGGAGGGGCUCGUGGACCUGGACAGUCUCUGCAAGGACUCUCUGGACAGAAGAGCAGGUGGAGAGAUUGACUACUUGUGUGGAUGUUACUGUGUGAAAUGGAUGAAGAUUCCAGUUCUCCAAACAAAACCCAGGGACCUACCAACCAAGAGGAGCCUUGGAAAGGAGCAGCAGAAAGCAGUUUGAGAGCUUUCUGCCAGCAGCACGAGGGCACCUCACCGGGCAGCCACCUCCGAGACCACAACAGCAGACACCCGGAACUGCAGAAACUGCACUGCUGGAGGGCCAGGGCAGCACUGCGUGGUGUGUAAAUGCAGGUGUAAAACACGCAGCCUGAGGCUGGAGGGACUCAACACACCAGGGAUGCAGGAGUUUCCUCUGCUCCAUCCAGAGUCUCCAGGUGCCUCAGUGACGCAUUCACUGCUGUGUGGUGACUUUCUUGGUGAAUAUGAACACCGUUUGCGGCCAGACUGGAGGAGGUUUGUACUAUUUCAGCCUGCGUGCGGCUCCUGUGGAAGGAAUCAUUGUUUUACUGAACUUGCUGUGCUGGGGACGGAGGAGCAGUGCCACCGCCUCCCUCCUCCUUUCUUAAGUCAGAAAUUAGCAAAACUGGAAAAGUGCCUAAAAGAGAUCCACACCAAGCCUUGCACAGGUGGAAUGUUGUGGUUCUGCAGGGACCCCCUCCUCUUCAGGGGCCAUGGUCACGGGACGGGUCUGCACCACCACAGCCUCCGCAGGGCACGCACCCGCUCCUCGGCCGCCGCCCCUACUGCUCACUCAGCUGCUCGCUGGCGGCUGCCUUGAGCUCAGGCUUCGCAGGGGAGGCCAUGAGGUUGGCCUCUUCUAGCGCACCAGAAACAGCCCGGCGAGACCAGGGCCCAGCCACCCCACCACCCUUCGCAGGAAGCCGGGUCCUCUGACCACGACGGAAUAAGCUGGGAAAUAAGAUAGCAGCUCACAGAGUUUUGAGCAACAGGAACAAAAUCUUGCUAGUAUCGCUAUUGCGGGCCCAUACACACUGCGUCUUUCGUAGCUGUUUGCUUGUGAGAACUGUUCCCUCAUGCCGCAUUGCGUCCACAGAGCACCUCCGGCGCCCUUGCGUUCCUGGUGGCCCUGAAGACACCCCUGUGGGUGCCCCGGGGAGCAUGGCCACCAAGAUCCAGGCCCACGAAAGCCUUGGGCCACCCUGAGGGGCUCUAGUGAAUCUGCAUCUUCUGAAAAAGGGACACAGGACAACUCCGGAUCUCACAGGCUUGAAGAUGUGCGUUUUCAGGUUCCUUUACCCUCAAGGAAUCUGCAUUGUAUUUUCCCCCUUCUGAAUGGUAAACAGCCACGUGGCCAGAAAAUUUUCCCAUAAGUUGAAUCUGCCUGACACUAAAACGUCUGCGUUAAAGAUAAAAAAAUCAC